UGGGGGAUAUUGCACAAUGGAGGAAACUCUGAUGCAGCGACGCCGCGUGAGUGAAGAAGUAUUUCGGUAUGUAAAGCUCUAUCAGCAGGGAAGAUAGUGACGGUACCUGACUAAGAAGCUCCGGCUAACUACGUGCCAGCAGCCGCGGUAAUACGUAGGGGGCAAGCGUUAUCCGGAUUUACUGGGUGUAAAGGGAGCGUAGACGGUGUGGCAAGUCUGAUGUGAAAGGCAUGGGCUCAACCUGUGGACUGCAUUGGAAACUGUCAUACUUGAGUGCCGGAGGGGUAAGCGGAAUUCCUAGUGUAGCGGUGAAAUGCGUAGAUAUUAGGAGGAACACCAGUGGCGAAGGCGGCUUACUGGACGGUAACUGACGUUGAGGCUCGAAAGCGUGGGGAGCAAACAGG
Molecule: ribosomal RNA, 404 nt
Filed under: Blautia sp.
Lineage: Bacteria; Bacillati; Bacillota; Clostridia; Lachnospirales; Lachnospiraceae
Description: bacterial SSU rRNA
Rfam family: Bacterial small subunit ribosomal RNA
Source: RNAcentral